This 429-nucleotide ribosomal RNA is filed under the name bacterium. RNAcentral's name for it is "partial 16S ribosomal RNA". It matches the Rfam family "Bacterial small subunit ribosomal RNA", at positions 355 to 776 of the family's 1533-position model. The record is from RNAcentral.
UAGGGAAUCUUCGGCAAUGGGGGCAACCCUGACCGAGCAACGCCGCGUGAGUGAAGAAGGUUUUCGGAUCGUAAAGCUCUGUUGUAAGAGAAGAACGUGUGUGAGAGUGGAAAGUUCACACAGUGACGGUAACUUACCAGAAAGGGACGGCUAACUACGUGCCAGCAGCCGCGGUAAUACGUAGGUCCCGAGCGUUGUCCGGAUUUAUUGGGCGUAAAGCGAGCGCAGGCGGUUUAAUAAGUCUGAAGUUAAAGGCAGUGGCUUAACCAUUGUUCGCUUUGGAAACUGUUAAACUUGAGUGCAGAAGGGGAGAGGGGAAUUCCAUGUGUAGCGGUGAAAUGCGUAGAUAUAUGGAGGAACACCGGUGGCGAAAGCGGCUCUCUGGUCUGUAACUGACGCUGAGGCUCGAAAGCGUGGGGAGCAAACAGG